AACGAACGCUGGCGGCAUGCCUAACACAUGCAAGUCGAACGAGACCUUCGGGUCUAGUGGCGCACGGGUGCGUAACGCGUGGGAACCUGCCCUUAGGCUCAGAAUAACUCACCGAAAGGGGUGCUAAUACCGGAUAAUGUCUUCGGACCAAUGAUUCAUCGCCUUUGGAUGGGCCCGCGUUGGAUUAGCUAGUUGGUAGGGUAAAAGCCUGCCAAGGCGGCGAUCCAUAGCUGGUCUGAGAGGAUGAUCAGCCACACUGGGGCUGAGACACGGACCAGACUCCUACGGGAGGCAGCAGUAGGGAAUAUUGGAGGAUGGACGAAAGCCUGAUACAGCAAUGCCGCGUGAGUGAUGAAGGCCUUAGGAUUGUAAAGCUCGUCUAGCCGGGAUGAUAAUGACAGUACCGGGAGAAUAAGCUCCGGCUAACUACGUG
RNAcentral lists this ribosomal RNA (433 nucleotides) under uncultured bacterium. RNAcentral describes it as "partial 16S ribosomal RNA". It matches the Rfam family "Bacterial small subunit ribosomal RNA", at positions 29 to 507 of the family's 1533-position model. The record is from RNAcentral.